CCCAGACUCCUACGGGAGGCAGCAGUGGGGGAUAUUGCACAAUGGGGGAAACCCUGAUGCAGCGACGCCGCGUGAGUGAAGACGGCCUUCGGGUUGUAAAGCUCUGUCAAUCGGGACGAAGAAGAUGACGGUACCGAUGAAGGGAGCUCCGGCUAACUACGUGCCAGCAGCCGCGGUAAUACGUAGGGGGCAAGCGUUGUCCGGAAUUACUGGGUGUAAAGGGCGCGUAGGCGGACUGUCAAGUCAGUCGUGAAAUACCGAAGCUUAACUUCGGGGCUGCGAUUGAACCUGACAGCCUUGAGUAUCGGAGAGGAAAGCGGAAUUCCUAGUGUAGCGGUGAAAUGCGUAGAUAUUAGGAGGACCACCAGUGGCGAAGGCGGCUUUCUGGACGACAACUGCCGCUGAGGCGCGAGAGUGUGGGGAGCAAACAGGAUUAGAUACCCCUGUAUA
This 450-nucleotide ribosomal RNA is filed under the name uncultured bacterium. Its description in RNAcentral is "bacterial SSU rRNA". It matches the Rfam family "Bacterial small subunit ribosomal RNA", at positions 330 to 794 of the family's 1533-position model. The record is from RNAcentral.